Molecule: transfer-messenger RNA, 363 nt
Filed under: Gammaproteobacteria (g-proteobacteria)
Lineage: Bacteria; Pseudomonadati; Pseudomonadota
Also listed under: 2 other names
Description: GCA-2746155 sp002746155 Standard tmRNA
Rfam family: transfer-messenger RNA
About the family: Bacterial tmRNA, also known as 10Sa RNA or SsrA, is named for its dual tRNA and mRNA-like properties. Its role is to liberate the mRNA from a stalled ribosome.
Source: RNAcentral
GGGGACGACAUGGCUUCGACGUGGAUUACAAAGCUUUAGGUGCAUGCAGAGGCACAGCAUACCUCUUAAAUCCAACUGUAAAACUUUUAGUUGCCAACGACGACAACUACGCUCUAGCUGCUUAAUACCCAGCCUUAGAGCCUUCUGCCCGGACAGUGCUUGUACUGCUGGAAAUCAGGAGUCAUCCUAACAAGCUCGUGAUGAAGCUGAUUUCGGGGUGGAUUCAUUAAAAAUUACUGAGAUCGUCUUUCGCAUUCCCUGUCUGUUGGGUAGCGGAUUGAUUAAAUCUAAAGACAGAAUAAGCAUGUAGAUCCAGAAGUGGAGAAUUUGCGGACGCGGGUUCGAUUCCCGCCGUCUCCACCA